ACAUGAUUAAGAUGUUGCUGUUACAAAAACCUGAAUGACAUUACAUCAGGAAUGAAAACAAAUGUAGGGCGUGGCUUGAUUUUGUCCCUUAAUUGGAGGGUUGUGGCUUGCUACUGGUGGAUCUCAUGUGAGUGACAGGUUGGUCCUUACACUUCUAAAAAACAAUUACAGAAGACUUGUGGAUUGCUAUUGGUGAAUUUUUAGUGAGUGACAGGUUGAUCCCGCCCUCACACUUGUAAACACCAAUCAGAGAAGACUUGUGGCUUGCUAUUGGUAGUUGUCAUAAGAGUGACAGGUUGGUCCCGCCCUCACACUUGUAAUCACCAAUCAGAGAAGACUUGUGGCUUGCUAUUGGAGGAUCUCAUGUUAGUGACAUGUUGGUCCCGCCCUCACAUUUUUAAAAAACAAUCACAGAUGAGUUGUUGCUUGCUAUUUGUGGAUCUCAUGUUGGUGACAAGUUGAUCCCGCCCUCACACUUCCAAAAAAAACAAUCGCAGAAGAGUUGUGGCUUGCUAUUGGUGGAUCUCAUGUGAGUGACAGGUUGGUCCCGCCCUCACACUUGUAAACACCAAUCAGAGAAGACUUGUGGCUUGCUAUUGGUAGUUCUCAUAAGAGUGACAGGUUGGUCCCGCCCUCACACUUGUAAUCACCAAUCAGAGAAGACUUGUGGCUUGCUAUUGGAGGAUCUCAUGUUAGUGACAUGUUGGUCCCGCCCUCACAUUUUUAAAAACCAAUCACAGAUGAGUUGUUGCUUGCUAUUUGUGGAUCUCAUGUUGGUGACCAGUUGAUCCCGCCCUCACACUUCCAAAAAAAACAAUCGCAGAAGAGUUGUGGCUUGCUAUUGGUGGAUCUCAUGUGAGUGACAGGUUGAUCCCGCCCUCACACUUCCAAAAAAAACAAUCGCAGAAGAGUUGUGGCUUGCUAUUGGUGAAUCUCAUGUGAGCGACAGGUUGAUCCCGCCCUCACACUUAUAAAAACCAAUCACAGAUGAGUUGUUGCUUGCUAUUGGUGGAUUUCAUGUGAGUGACAGUUUGAUCCCGCCCUCACACUUGUAAACACCAAUCAGAAGAGUUGUGGCUUGCCAUUGGUAGAUGUCAUGUGAGUGACAGGUUGGUCCCGCCCUCACACUUCUAAAAAACAAUUACAGAAGAGUUGUGGAUUGCUAUUGGUGGAUCUCAUGUGAGUGACAGGUUGGUCCAGCCCUCAUACUUGUAAACACCAAUCAGAGAAGAGUUGUGGCUUGCUAUUGGAGGAUCAAAUGUGAGUGCCAGGUUGAUCUCGCUCUCCAACUUGUAAACACCAAUCAGAAAAGACUUGUGGCUUGCUAUUGGUGGAUCUCAUAUUAGUGACAUGUUGGUCUUGCCCUCACACUUCAUAAAACCAAUCACAGAAGAGUUGUUUCUUGCUAUUUGUGGAUCUCAUGUUGGUGACAAGUUGAUCCCACCCUCACACUUCCAAAAAA
Molecule: non-coding RNA, 1462 nt
Organism: Danio rerio (zebrafish)
Lineage: Eukaryota; Metazoa; Chordata; Actinopteri; Cypriniformes; Danionidae
Source: RefSeq, a predicted model, not a curated record